AACGAACGCUGGCGGCAGGCCUAACACAUGCAAGUCGAGCGCUGUAGCAAUACAGAGCGGCGCACGGGAGAGUAACGCGUGGGAACCUACCUUUUGGUUUGGGAUAACACCGGGAAACUGGGUGCUAAUACCGGAUAAGCCCAACUUCAGAAAGCAGAAGACAGAAAACAGGGAUCAGAAAUAAACUGAUGCCUGAAACGGGAGAUCGAAUAUCAGAAAGCAAAAAUCUGANACCUGAU
RNAcentral lists this ribosomal RNA (239 nucleotides) under uncultured bacterium. Its description in RNAcentral is "partial 16S ribosomal RNA". It matches the Rfam family "Bacterial small subunit ribosomal RNA", at positions 29 to 223 of the family's 1533-position model. The record is from RNAcentral.